UGUAAAGCUCUUUCGACGGGGAUGAUAAUGACCGUACCCGUAGAAGAAGCCACGGCUAAAUUCGUGCCAGCAGCCGCGGUAAUACGAAUGUGGCAAGCGUUGUUCGGAAUCACUGGGCGUAAAGAAUGCGUAGGCGGCUUGACAAGUCAGGAGUGAAAUCCCAGGGCUUAACCCUGGAACUGCUUUUGAAACUGUCAGGCUAGUGUCCCGGAGGGGUUGACGGAAUUCCGAGUGUAGAGGUGAAAUUCGCAGAUAUUCGGAGGAACACCAGUGGCGUAAGCGGUCAACUGGACGGGUACAGACGCUGAGGCAUGAAAGUGUGGGGAGCAAACAGGAUUAGAUACCCUGGUAGUCCACACCGUAAACGAUGUGUGCUAGUUGUUGGGCAGCUUAGCUGUUCAGUGACGGAGCUAACGUUUUAAGCACACCGCCUGGGAAGUACGGCCGCAAGGUUAAAACUCAAAGGAAUUGACGGGGACCCGCACAAGCGGUGGAACAUGUUCUUUAAUUCGUAGCAACGCGAAGAACCUUACCUACCCUUGACAUACCGGUUGGGAUUUCCAGAGAUGGAUUUCUUCAUUUAGUUGGACCGGAUACAGGUGCUGCAUGGCUGUCGUCAGCUCGUGUCGUGAGAUGUUGGGUUAAGUCCCGCAACGAGCGCAACCCUCGUCGUCUGUUGCCACCAUUCAGUUGGGCACUCAGACGAGACUGCCGGUGACAAGCCGGAGGAAGGCGGGGAUGACGUCAAGUCAUCAUGGCCCUUACGGGUAGGGCUAGAAACGUGUUACAAUGGUGGUGACAGUGGGUCGCAAGGUCGCGAGGCCAAGCCAAUCCCCAAAAGCCAUCUCAGUUCGGAUUGCACUCUGCAACUCGAGUGCAUGAAGUUGGAAUCGCUAGUAAUCGUGGAUCAGCACGCCACGGUGAAUACGUUCCCGGGUCUUGUACACAC
Molecule: ribosomal RNA, 949 nt
Filed under: uncultured bacterium
Lineage: Bacteria
Description: bacterial SSU rRNA
Rfam family: Bacterial small subunit ribosomal RNA
Source: RNAcentral